GAUGAACGCUGGCGGCGUGCUUAACACAUGCAAGUCGAACGGAAAGGCUCCUGCUUGCAGGGGUACUCGAGUGGCGAACGGGUGAGUAACACGUGGGUGAUCUGCCCUGCACUUCGGGAUAAGCCUGGGAAACUGGGUCUAAUACCGGAUAGGACCACAUUUUGGAUGGUGUGGUGGAAAGUUUUUCGGUGUGGGAUGAGCUCGCGGCUUAUCAGCUUGUUGGUGGGGUAAUGGCCUACCAAGGCGUCGACGGGUAGCCGGCCUGAGAGGGUGUACGGCCACAUUGGGACUGAGAUACGGCCCAGACUCCUACGGGAGGCAGCAGUGGGGAAUAUUGCACAAUGGGCGCAAGCCUGAUGCAGCGACGCCGCGUGGGGGAUGACGGCCUUCGGGUUGUAAACUCCUUUCGCUAGGGACGAAGCGCAAGUGACGGUACCUGGAGAAGAAGCACCGGCUAACUACGUG
This 465-nucleotide ribosomal RNA is filed under the name uncultured bacterium. Its description in RNAcentral is "partial 16S ribosomal RNA". It matches the Rfam family "Bacterial small subunit ribosomal RNA", at positions 28 to 507 of the family's 1533-position model. The record is from RNAcentral.